Ostrea edulis (European flat oyster) is the source of this 388-nucleotide long non-coding RNA. RefSeq lists it as uncharacterized. NCBI's taxonomy places the organism in Eukaryota, Metazoa, Mollusca, Bivalvia, Ostreida, Ostreidae. The record is from RefSeq and is a predicted model, not a curated record. The transcript is spliced from 3 exons.
ACAUGUGGACUAAAGUACCAAAAUUUUCAAAUUUUUUAAUUAAAUCUAUUCUUUACAGCAAGUCCUUUAUCAAAGGAUGUUAUAUUAAACAAUGAGAGUAAAGUGGACCUUUCUAAAAUACCCAAACUGAAAAGGAAAAUCAGGAGAGUUCCACGGCAAUCCAAGAGAGAGUGCAAAAACAAGAAUGAGGGGGAUAACACCAUGCACAUCAAUGCUGCAGCAGAUUGUCAACUUGAACAAAUUGCAACAGUACCUAGCUCUUUUGAGAGCUAUUCAACACCACUUCAAAGCUACAUGCAGCAGCUGCUGAUAUACAAAGGAUUUACCCCUAUUGGCAGCUAUUUCAAUAAAUUUGUAUUGAGAGAAUUUGCACAAGAAGAUAAAAAAC